Molecule: long non-coding RNA, 1748 nt
Filed under: Citrus x clementina
Lineage: Eukaryota; Viridiplantae; Streptophyta; Magnoliopsida; Sapindales; Rutaceae
Description: Citrus clementina (C. clementina) long non-coding RNA (CCLE_LNC002080)
Source: RNAcentral
UGCUACGGUGCAACUGUGGUACCGUGCCACAGUUACAUCCAGCCGUUGGAUGCACUUGGAUUUGGUGGAGUCUAUUAAAAUCUAACGGCUGAAUACAAUUGUGGUAUAAUACUACAAUUGCAUCACAGUUUCCCUAUAUAUAUAUUGUAGGCAACAACAACUAAGUUCAACUUGAUGUGACUUCAGGUAUGUUGGAAGUGAGGAGAUCUGGGUGAUGCGCCUGACUUAUCCAAGACCUGAUAAUUUGACUGCGUAAAGGUCAUCAACAAAAUCUUUUAUUCCGAGUGAUAUAGAUCCCAUUUCAUUUAAUUUGUAGAUCUUACUCCUAGGACUCAUUAGACCUAUCAAAUAGCAUGCCAUGGCUGGUCGGACGCACCAGAAGAGUAUGUUGAGGCGGUCUUACAAUGGUGCCCCCCCCCCGUCCCACGCACAUCUUUCUCCUUGGAAAUAAGAAUAAAUGGGCCACUUUGUGAUGGAAAAAAUGCUUACGUGGACUGGGCAUACUGUUCCACUGUUCCAGCAAAUCUAUCAGUGAUUCACUAAUUUUUGCACCACUUCAAUACCCUGCCCCAAGAAGAUUUUUUAUUGUGAUUGAGGGAAACCCCACUUCACACCUAUUCUGUUGUCAUUUCCAAGUUAUUUAACAUCUUUUUUGGUUGUCAUCGUCGAAUAAAGUAAUUAGUAAUUGUUUGUUUCCAUUCCACAUAGAAACAAAGGCAACACAAGUUAAAUUGUUGUAAGAUACUAAGAUCCAAACUCCGCAAACUUCCAUUUCAUUGCUUUGUUAUUCAGUCACACUGCUGCUCCCCACCCAGCUCGGAAAGGGGUCACUUGGCUCCUAUUUAUUUCUCAAAGACCAAAGCACUAUGAAAAAUAUCUACUUUCUAUUUUGUGUUUUCUUGUCAAUGCAGAGUUUUAUCAUCUACUGUAGAUUUUAAAAUAUAUUCAGGUUAUUUAUAAUCACUCAUAAAUCAUAUACAUUAGAGAAAUUUACAACCGUCCACCUAUUUGUUUUGUCUUUUUCAAAAAUACACAAACACUUUUUUUUUUUUUCAGCGCGCCACCUGAAGUUUACUUUUUGUUGCAUUCGUCCACUUCCGUCUAAUUUCCGUUAAUGAAUUUAACGGAAUGACCUUUUUACCCUUCAAAAUUACAAUUUAACCUAAAAUAAAUAGAAAUUAGAGAUAAAUUGGAUGGAUUUAAUUUUUUUCAAAGGUGGAUGCUAGAAAUUAGAGGAAAAUAAUGUUUGUUGCUUGCUAAAUUUAAAAAAUUUAUAUUUAUUUUUUUAGAGAAAAAUAGUGUUUAUUACUUGCUAAAUUUAGAAAAUUUGUAUUUAUUUUUUUGUGUAUUUAUUUUUUUGUCUCUCAAAAAAAUAAAUACAAAUUUUCUAAAUUUAUCAAGCAACAAACGCUAUUUUCCUCCAAUUUCUAGCAUCCACCUUUGAAAAAAAUUAAAUCCAUCCAAUUUAUCUCCAAUUUCCAUUUAUUUUGGGUUAAAUUAUAAUUUUGAGGGGUAAAAAGGUCAUUUCGUUAACAUUCCGUUAAAUCCACUAACGGAAAUUUGACGGAAGUGGAUGAAUGCAACCAAAAACAAACUUCAGGUGGCGCGCUGCAAAAAAAAAAAGUGUUUGUGUAUUUUUGAAAAAUACAAAACAAACAGGUGGACGAGUGUAAAUUUCCCUAUACAUUAAUUAAGUUCAAACCUUUUUACAUAUUAUACAAGUUUGAAUUUAAAAAUAUUUGUUCUUU